AUAAUAUGUGCAAGAAUAGUAAAUUGCAUAAAAGUAAAGAGAAAAAAGUAAAUGUUAAUGGUUAAUGGUUAGUGUUAGUAGUUAGUGUGCCAUAAGGAAAAUUUAGCGCUAUGUUAAGCAAUCGUAAUUGGACUUAUGUAGAAGUCACAACUAUCUGAGGCCGGUCAAUAAUAAUGUAGGCAACAACAUACGUUAGAAGUCUUGAUUAGUGAAUCAAAUUUCCAACAGCUUGCCAUGCCCAAAAAAAA
Molecule: long non-coding RNA, 248 nt
Filed under: Lathyrus oleraceus (garden pea)
Lineage: Eukaryota; Viridiplantae; Streptophyta; Magnoliopsida; Fabales; Fabaceae
Description: Pisum sativum (pea) long non-coding RNA (PSAT_LNC008862)
Source: RNAcentral